This 426-nucleotide ribosomal RNA is filed under the name uncultured bacterium. RNAcentral's name for it is "bacterial SSU rRNA". It matches the Rfam family "Bacterial small subunit ribosomal RNA", at positions 354 to 777 of the family's 1533-position model. The record is from RNAcentral.
GUAAGGAAUAUUGGUCAAUGGAGGGAACUCUGAACCAGCCAUGCCGCGUGCAGGAUGACUGCCCUAUGGGUUGUAAACUGCUUUUGUCGGGGAAUAAACCUACGUUUGCGAACGUAGCUGAAUGUACCCGAAGAAUAAGGAUCGGCUAACUCCGUGCCAGCAGCCGCGGUAAUACGGAGGAUCCAAGCGUUAUCCGGAUUUAUUGGGUUUAAAGGGUGCGUAGGCGGUUCUUUAAGUCAGAGGUGAAAGACGGCAGCUUAACUGUCGCAGUGCCUUUGAUACUGAAGAACUUGAAUUGGGUUGAGGAAUGCGGAAUGAGACAAGUAGCGGUGAAAUGCAUAGAUAUGUCUCAGAACCCCGAUUGCGAAGGCAGCAUUCCAAGCCUAUAUUGACGCUGAUGCACGAAAGCGUGGGGAUCGAACAGGA